Molecule: ribosomal RNA, 292 nt
Filed under: uncultured bacterium
Lineage: Bacteria
Description: partial 16S ribosomal RNA
Rfam family: Bacterial small subunit ribosomal RNA
Source: RNAcentral
GUGCCAGCAGCCGCGGUAAUACAGAGGGUGCAAGCGUUGCUCGGAUUUACUGGGCGUAAAGCGUACGCAGACGGCUUGGUAGGUCGGAUGUGAAAGCCCCGGGCUCAACCCGGGAAUUGCAUCCGAAACCACCUCGCUCGAGUGUGGGAGAGGGAAGCGGAAUUCCUGGUGUAGAGGUGAAAUUCGUAGAUAUCAGGAGGAACACCGGCGGCGAAGGCGGCUUCCUGGCCCAUUACUGACGUUCAGGUACGAAAGCGUGGGGAGCAAACAGGAUUAGAUACCCUGGUAGUCC